Molecule: ribosomal RNA, 114 nt
Organism: Panthera pardus (leopard)
Lineage: Eukaryota; Metazoa; Chordata; Mammalia; Carnivora; Felidae
Source: Ensembl
GUCUGCGGCCGUCCCACCCUCAACACGCCCGAUCUCAUCUCAUCUCAGAAGCUAAGCGGGGUCAGGCCUGGUUAGUGCUUGGAUGGGAGAAUUGAAAAAUGAAAACUGAAAACC